Molecule: ribosomal RNA, 246 nt
Filed under: Salmonella enterica
Lineage: Bacteria; Pseudomonadati; Pseudomonadota; Gammaproteobacteria; Enterobacterales; Enterobacteriaceae
Description: partial 16S ribosomal RNA
Rfam family: Bacterial small subunit ribosomal RNA
Source: RNAcentral
AAAUUGAAGAGUUUGAUCAUGGCUCAGAUUGAACGCUGGCGGCAGGCCUAACACAUGCAAGUCGAACGGUAACAGGAAGCAGCUUGCUGCUUUGCUGACGAGUGGCGGACGGGUGAGUAAUGUCUGGGAAACUGCCUGAUGGAGGGGGAUAACUACUGGAAACGGUGGCUAAUACCGCAUAACGUCGCAAGACCAAAGAGGGGGACCUUCAGGCCUCUUGCCAUCAGAUGUGCCCAGAUGGGAUUA